CAGGCUUAACACAUGCAAGUCGAGGGGCAGCAUGGUCUUAGCUUGCUAAGGCCGAUGGCGACCGGCGCACGGGUGAGUAACACGUAUCCAACCUGCCGUCUACUCUUGGACAGCCUUCUGAAAGGAAGAUUAAUACAAGAUGGCAUCAUGAGUCCGCAUGUUCACAUGAUUAAAGGUAUUCCGGUAGACGAUGGGGAUGCGUUCCAUUAGAUAGUAGGCGGGGUAACGGCCCACCUAGUCUUCGAUGGAUAGGGGUUCUGAGAGGAAGGUCCCCCACAUUGGAACUGAGACACGGUCCAAACUCCUACGGGAGGCAGCAGUGAGGAAUAUUGGUCAAUGGGCGAGAGCCUGAACCAGCCAAGUAGCGUGAAGGAUGACUGCCCUAUGGGUUGUAAACUUCUUUUAUAAAGGAAUAAAGUCGGGUAUGGAUACCCGUUUGCAUGUACUUUAUGAAUAAGGAUCGGCUAACUCCGUGCCAGCAGCCGCGGUAAUACGGAGGAUCCGAGCGUUAUCCGGAUUUAUUGGGUUUAAAGGGAGCGUAGAUGGAUGUUUAAGUCAGUUGUGAAAGUUUGCGGCUCAACCGUAAAAUUGCAGUUGAUACUGGAUAUCUUGAGUGCAGUUGAGGCAGGCGGAAUUCGUGGUGUAGCGGUGAAAUGCUUAGAUAUCACGAAGAACUCCGAUUGCGAAGGCAGCCUGCUAAGCUGCAACUGACAUUGAGGCUCGAAAGUGUGGGUAUCAAACAGGGAUUAGAUACCCUGGUAGUCCACACGGUAAACGAUGAAUACUCGCUGUUUGCGAUAUACUGCAAGCGGCCAAGCGAAAGCGUUAAGUAUUCCACCUGGGGAGUACGCCGGCAACGGUGAAACUCAAAGGAAUUGACGGGGGCCCGCACAAGCGGAGGAACAUGUGGUUUAAUUCGAUGAUACGCGAGGAACCUUACCCGGGCUUAAAUUGCAGAUGAAUUACGGUGAAAGCCGUAAGCCGCAAGGCAUCUGUGAAGGUGCUGCAUGGUUGUCGUCAGCUCGUGCCGUGAGGUGUCGGCUUAAGUGCCAUAACGAGCGCAACCCUUGUUGUCAGUUACUAACAGGUUCCGCUGAGGACUCUGACAAGACUGCCAUCGUAAGAUGUGAGGAAGGUGGGGAUGACGUCAAAUCAGCACGGCCCUUACGUCCGGGGCUACACACGUGUUACAAUGGGGGGUACAGAGGGCCGCUACCACGCGAGUGGAUGCCAAUCCCCAAAACCUCUCUCAGUUCGGACUGGAGUCUGCAACCCGACUCCACGAAGCUGGAUUCGCUAGUAAUCGCGCAUCAGCCACGGCGCGGUGAAUACGUUCCCGGGCCUUGUACACACCG
Molecule: ribosomal RNA, 1355 nt
Filed under: uncultured bacterium
Lineage: Bacteria
Description: 16S ribosomal RNA
Rfam family: Bacterial small subunit ribosomal RNA
Source: RNAcentral